UCACCUAUCAUUUCGAGCUAUAAAAGACGACUCUCCGUCAAGGUGGUCAUUGAGGGGCAGGAACGUGAACUGACGAGUCGACAACAGGCUACUACGAUGAACAACGCAAUCAAGUGGUUGAUCUUGGCUUCUGCUGUCGCCAUGCUGAUCACAGGUGGUGACGCUCAGGUGACAUGCAUCGGCUGUUAUCCCAUUACGGGACCGUGUACUCCACGCCCCAUAACAUGUGCAACAGGCCAAGCCUGCAGAGUAGCACCAUACAUCAUAGGCCAGAUCUGUGCGGAUCCGUGAAUGUGACGACAGACAAACCCCCAACGCAAGAUGUCCCAAGAUGGACUUCUGCGACUUGGAAGGAUUUGUGGGGGUUGAAGAUCCAACGUGUCGUCUUGGUAGUUUAGUUUAGUUGAGAAGCAUUCAAAAAUGUUAAAAAAAAUAAAUAAAAAGUGAUCAUCAAAUGA
Long non-coding RNA from Syngnathus typhle (broad-nosed pipefish), 458 nucleotides. RefSeq lists it as uncharacterized. The record is from RefSeq and is a predicted model, not a curated record. NCBI's taxonomy places the organism in Eukaryota, Metazoa, Chordata, Actinopteri, Syngnathiformes, Syngnathidae. The transcript is spliced from 3 exons.